GUACCUGCUUUGUGAGCCUGGACAAGUCCCUACAGGGGAACAGAGAAGAACACUGGUUAUGGGACUUGCCCAGUUACAGGGGCCGUCCACAGAGGAGUGUGUCUUAGAGCUCAAACCUCCGCCUGGCUGGCAUCUCACUUGUUCCUGGCUGACCCGGUGAAAAGCAUUGCUGGAGGAGUCAGCUAAGGUCGUAUUUGCCAAAGCAUCGGAAAGCAACAAAUCCCUGUGCAAGCAGCAGCCGUGGAUCACCUGCUCCAGAGGCCUCUGCACUGCCAUUGGGUAGAGCCAAGGGUGAACAUCAGAAGUCGGAUGGCAGAGCUAGAAAAGAUGGACUGAAGACCAGAACCUGAGUCUACCCCUAAAUCACCACCAGGCCAUGGGCAAGUCACAAUCCUUGCUGGGCCUCAUCUGCACAACCAGAAAGUUGUGGCUGGGAUUCUCAGAGCUUUGCUGUGAAUAGCCUGUGGUGGCCGAUAGAUCUUUCUGCUUCUCUUGGGUCUGGCUGCAAGAUGAAAGAGCGGGAGGGAAGAGAGGGAAGCUGAAAAGCAAGGUCAAUCAAUUCUGAGCCAAGACAGAGCCUAAGAGAUAGGGCGUGGCAUGCUGAAAGAUGAUGGCUGGCAAAAAUCAUUAGAAGCAUCUUUCAACAAUCUAUAUGCCGUUAUUGAUUUUGUUAUGGAUCUUCUCCUUCCAUCCCUUUCCCCCCACCCCAAGAUCUUCUGGAUCAAUACAGCAAGUGCAUUGAGACUGUAGCAACACAUUUAAAACCUUAUAAAAGGUUAUUUAGUUGCUAACAGUGCAGUGGUUUCUGCAGAGCCUGCCAAAAGGUUACAGCUUUUUGGGGAUCAUAAAUUACAGGCGACAGGAAAAAAGUAAGUGCGGUUUUCUUUAUUGUCUCAAUGAUGGAUGGACUCCUGAACAGGGCAGAAAAUACAUCAUAUCACCUUUAAUGGGCGUGCAUUUCUGCAGCCAUAACUCACCAUUUUAAAAUAGAAAAUGGUGAAAUAUGGCAUUGUAUAUUCCACUUGUGACAUAUUUAUGAGUCCUUGCCUUCUUAUAAAUACAGUGAUUGCUAUUUCAAAGCUCCGUGUCAGGUAUGAGCUGAGCGCAAACAGCUGGUGCGGCUGAAAAAUUAUAGCCAGAGUGGACGUUUUCAAAAACUCUCUCUCACAGCAGUAAAUUUACAGUGUUUGCACUAACUGUUAUUAAAACCAAAUCCAUAUCUUGGCAACAGGAAUCCAUCGUUCAGUAACAGCUGGAAUGACAGUGUGCCCGACAGCUGGGCUGAGCUGUAUCUUGGCCAUGAUGCACAUCAAGGGGGAAGGUCAAGGACUUCAGACUAAGCCCUGGGGGCCUCCCCGCCAGGGCUGUCUAAGCCAGGAGUCCCCAGGGCACACAUAGUCUCCUGUCUGACUCUUGGGUCUGGGAGCUGCUUCUAGCUCCUUCUCUUGUCUGGGAACUACCCUCAGUGUAGGCCUUUGAGGCAUUCAGGCUUUCCCUACUCCCCCUCUUUCCUCCAUGAGUCACUCCAGCUCUGGAGGAGUUGAAAACAGGAACAGACCCUAUGGUAGAGCCAGAGGGGAAACAACUACAGGCAAAGUUCAUCAGGGAUGUGGGGAGGCCAACUGGACUGCAGGUAAAAACCAAAGGGGGUGGGGGUACCAAUAACUCUUGUUGGUUUAUGUUCUCCUGCCUACUACUUUUCACUUCAGUCAAAAGAUUUGUUGAGUCCUCUUAUGAACUGGCUGCCACUAGAAAACAAAAAGAACAUGUCAUAGCUUUUUCUCCUAAGAUGCUUAUAGUCUAUAGGUAGCCUGAAACUCGGCGGCAUACAUCCCCUUUUCUCAAUUAUUUCCUAUGGCUGUUUUGACAGAUAAAACACAGACAUUAUGUUCAAUGUAAGAUCCAGGCACAAAAGAAUACACACUUGGGUUCAAUUUGUGAUCCAGUUCUAAAGAUAGGCAAGAGGAAUCUGUGGGAGGAAAGGUGGAAGUAACAGUAUUCAGGAAAGCCACUGUGCAGAACAUUUAACAUUAGUGGCCUUUACAAACUUCAUGUUCGUGAUCUCAGCUCUCCCCAGCAUCCUCUACCAUAAUCAACACAGAGAGCUACCAUCUGUGGUCUGGCUUCACAGAUGUGGCGACUGAGGCUCAGAGUCAGUGUCCAGGGAAGUUCUAACUCCAUUCUGAAGCCAACAUUUACCAUCUCAGUGAGAUUCUUGCUUACGGUCUUCUUGGCAGCAUGAUCUUCUCUGCACACACCCACUGCCACUGACAACCUGGAUGAAGAAGCAGAGUGGUUCACUACAGGAAGUGGACCAAUUAGAAUCUUGCAUCAGGAAUUCCUGAAAGUCUAGAACACAGAUCUGUGUUGAAAUGCUACAUGUGGAAGAGGUCCCAGCUUGUUUGGAGUGACUCUUGCCCAGAUGAUUUCAUCAAGGGACUUCUGCGUGAGCUCUUUCAGGAAAUGAUUUCGUCUGAGAAGCACAGUGUAAGAGGCAUGAAGAAGUCAACUCUGCCACCUCCAAGUUAGAAAAAGAGGAAACUUGGCCAAAUCACACCCAGCAUCUGUGACCAAUGAGCCUUGAGUCAGGCCUGAAAGAGAAUUUAAAAGAAAAAAAAUCAAAAACAACAGUUGUCUCAAAUACCUUGCUCCUUGGGUACCUUGGUUGUAUGAGACUCUCUCUGCAUGGCACAAAUGGGCACCAGAGGGGCUAUUUCAGCCCUGCUAUGCCAGCCCUCAAUGUGGCACUACAGCUCUAUUUGUUUUGAGUUUAUACCAUGUGUACUCGGUGCAUGCACACAUUUUAUUGUCUCUGAAAUCAGGGUGUCUGUUAGUGGCAGUGACAUCUUUGAUUUACUCAUGUUGCAGGGGACACGUGCUAGCCAUGCAUCCUCAGAUCUCACUAGAGUUUUAUUACAAAGUUGUUAGCAAUAUUUUGUUUAAAAUUUUGCACAUGCUUUGUUGUCUUCUCAGCUGAAUACAAACACUUGACCUUUUGACAUCCUGGUAGAAUGUGCCUCUAAUUAUAAUGCACUACUAAAUAUAAAUACAACUUCUCUUUUUAACCCCUUUAUUUCCCCCAGAGAUAACCACCAGGGCUUAAGGGCCUGAUGUGUAUACUUUGAUUUCUGAACUCUCUAUAGAAGAUAUUUGUGUUUUUACAACAAUGGCAUCGUGCCAUGGAAAGAUCUGUAACAUGAUGUCCAUCACAUUGAAACUUAACAUCCUCUUUUGAGUCCAAAACAUGGCUCUCAUGUUUUGUGAUGACUGUAUGUGUUCUGUUGUGUGGGUGUAGCAUUAUUUAUAUACCUAAUCACCAAAUUUAUAUACCUAAUCAUCAAAUUACUCAUUGUAAAGGAUGGGUUCUGGUAAUUUUUGAUAAGCACU
This is a non-coding RNA of Cricetulus griseus (Chinese hamster), 3387 nucleotides long. The record is from RefSeq and is a predicted model, not a curated record. Lineage: Eukaryota; Metazoa; Chordata; Mammalia; Rodentia; Cricetidae.